Molecule: long non-coding RNA, 206 nt
Filed under: Gossypium barbadense (sea-island cotton)
Lineage: Eukaryota; Viridiplantae; Streptophyta; Magnoliopsida; Malvales; Malvaceae
Description: long non-coding RNA (GBAR_LNC004320)
Source: RNAcentral
CCUAUUAAUGCAUGUUAUGAAAAUGAUGGGUUUGCAUGUCAAAUUACCCAAAAUGUGAGCUAGUGGCCGGCCAUGCUAUGAGUGGAAACAUGUUGGGAACAUGUUGGCUUAGUGAGGUAUGUUAGAAAAAAAUAAAAUAGGGAGUAUGGGUAAUAAAGAAAUGAAAACAAAAAAAUGUGUGGUUGUUUCCCCCCCAUGGCCGUGAG